CGCUGGCGGCGUGCCUAAUACAUGCAAGUCGAACGGUCUUUCUAUGGAAGCUUGCUUCCACUGAGAAGAUAGUGGCGAACGGGUGAGUAACACGUGGGUAACCUGCCCAUAAGAGGGGGAUAACAUCCGGAAACGGGUGCUAAUACCGCAUAGUUUUUCUUGAUCGCAUGAUUGAGAAAGGAAAGACGGCCUUUGUGCUGUCGCUUAUGGAUGGACCCGCGGCGUAUUAGUUAGUUGGUGAGGUAACGGCUCACCAAGACGAUGAUACGUAGCCGACCUGAGAGGGUGAUCGGCCACAUUGGGACUGAGACACGGCCCAAACUCCUACGGGAGGCAGCAGUAGGGAAUCUUCCGCAAUGGACGAAAGUCUGACGGAGCAACGCCGCGUGAGUGAAGAAGGUUUUUUCGGAUCGUAAAACUCUGUUGUCAGAGAAGAACAAGUUGGAGAGUAACUGCUCCAGCCUUGACGGUAUCUGACCAGAAAGCCACGGCUAACUACGUGCCAGCAGCCGC
RNAcentral lists this ribosomal RNA (513 nucleotides) under uncultured bacterium. RNAcentral's name for it is "bacterial SSU rRNA". It matches the Rfam family "Bacterial small subunit ribosomal RNA", at positions 34 to 518 of the family's 1533-position model. The record is from RNAcentral.